This is a long non-coding RNA of Clupea harengus (Atlantic herring), 4073 nucleotides long. The record is from Ensembl. Lineage: Eukaryota; Metazoa; Chordata; Actinopteri; Clupeiformes; Clupeidae.
CCAGACAGCCAUGGAUUUGAUGAAAUAAUCCUCCUGUGCAAAACAUCGGGGUGGUGUUGGGUGGUCCAUCUCCUGGGAAAUCUGACUGCUGAACAAGCCAUUGGUUUUGCUCUAAAUCACGAUUAAUGGGAAUGUUGUGAAGCCUUGGUGUAAUUCGUUUGGAAUGCGAAUAACAAUAAUUACACAGUUAUUCCCCAUUACCAGGUCCUGUUUAGUGUCUCCAGCGUGGUGCGGGAUCUAAGACGAUUGGCCUAAUUUCACGAGGUUAUUGAGGGACUAAACCGUGUUGAACCGCGCAGUGACCUAAACCUCUGCUAAUCUGAGGUGUACCCUUACAUGAUCGUUGGUUAGUUUUAUUUCGUUUUUGUCGUAUAGAUCGAUCAAAUAGAUUUGCCAAUAACACCAAUCUUCUUUUUUUUUUUAUCUAUAUUUUCUUUUGUUUAGAAUAGAUUUGCUCAUAGCAUCAUUGCUCGCAAUAUGCACAUUCAUUGCAAUACUUUUUUUUUUUGAUCUCUCACAAAACUAGUGUUUAUGGUCGUACUCUAUAGGUGUGUCCUCGAUUACCAAGCCACAAGUGGUGUGCCCAGCCCACACUGUAAAAAGAGAGUGGUUGUUCAGUUGCAGAUGGUGUGAAAUGGGGGAUGGGGGUCAGUGAAAGUUUGAAAAAGCAUAAGAGGGCUGUUUCCAGCCCCUGUGCUAAGAUGUCUUCAACGCCUGCCUAAAAAAAAAACAGUUUUCAGAAAGUCUUGCAAGAGGUCUAUCUACUUGUAAAGGCAGUUUUGGAGUGGGUUGCCAUUGGAAGCUGCAUUUGUUGUCAGGUUGUUGGCUUUUGUGGUACAGGGUUGAUUGUAAAACAUGAUCAUAACCUCAGCUUCAGGUUACUUCAGCCCAGGCUGCAGCCAUACAUUGUGCUUGUGUGCUUUAAGUACUUCAAGCUUGUGCUGAUUUUCUCUCGUAUGCUUGUGUUCCUGGUGCUCCACCGGUAGGGCAAGGUGCCAACAACACCAAGGUGUAAGGUGGCGACAGUGGUACAGUGGUAGAGAAGUCGUUUAGUAAUCAGAAGGUUGCUAGUUCGAUUCCCUGUCGAAGCGUCCUUGAGCAAGACACUGAACCCCUAAUUGCUCCUGAUGUGCAGUGUGCCAUCAGUGUAAAAUGUGUAUACAUUGUAAGUCGCACAUAUGUAAGUCGCUUUGGAUAAAAGCGUCUGCUAAAUGACUAAAUGUAAAUGUAAAGGUCAUUGGUCCAAUGCCAUGGGAGCCAGUUCAAUUAGACAAUGUAAAUUAGACAAAGCCCUGACCCCUGAUGUAGAACUGGACUUUGGGGACAUAGAGUCAGGUCUGACCCACGGAGUUAGCUGUUAGUUAAUGGAGUCAGCUGUUGGAACUGGACUCGUGAUCUAGGACAUAGCUGGGUCGGGUCUGAGCCGUAAUGGAGUCAGCUGUGGGAACUGGACUCGUGAUCUAGGACAUAGCUGGGUCGGGUCUGAGCCGUAAUGGAGUCAACUGUUGGAACUGGGUUUUGGGAUCUGGGCCGUAACAGGGCCAUGGCAGAGCCACUAUCGGCUCGAUGAAUGGAAAGGAAACGUCUCAGUUGUAGCACUGGACUGGAAAAGAGCGGUGGUUUUCCACUCAGCGCAAGUGAACGUUUUUUAAAAGACUCGGCGACCGGCACUUUCUGCCGCCCGCGAUGACGAAACCCCACUGUCACCCCGCAGGCAUGAAAUACACCCCAGGAGGGAUAAAAACGGGCUGAAAGCAGCCCUUUGUCCCCGGGGCCCUUUUCUCAGUGAGGUCAGUUUCGCUUUUUUAUUUCUGGGAAAGUAUAAUUUGGGUCCGCUCGGCUGGCUUGGGUUUCAUCCGCGCUCCCAUUGGGCCGGGUCUGCAGUGAAUGCGCUAAGUGUUGGGUUACAGACCUACUUUUAAAACGGCUGUGAUUUCCACCAAGAAAAAAAAAAAGAAGAGAAAAGUCCGAGCGGAAGGUCUCAGCUACUUAAGAGUCGCUGAAAAAAACGAAAUUUGAAACUCAGUGUCUGUUCAUGAUGAUAAACUCGUUAAGAUGCCCAUGCAUAUUAAAUGGCAUCUCAUCUUCUUCAUACUCUCGAAGCACACAGAGGACGUUACGUGAAAGUUGAAAAUACUCUCUCAAAAGAAUCUCAGGGAAUCACCAAAUUGGGAAACAUCAAUACUAAGGCAAUGCUAACGCAACAUUAAGGUGGUGUUUAGGCAACUCUAACACAAUGUUAAGGCAACACUAAGGUGGUGUUUAUGCAACUCUAACACAAUGUUAAGGCAACAUUAAGGGAAGGUCAAGGCAGAAAUGGGGGCAAGCUUUUGCCAUGGCUCUCAUCUCUAUAACCAAGAGUGUCAGGUGCCACUAUGUGAAACAUUAGUCAAAAGUGAGGAAAUGUAACAUGCAACAUUAAGGCAACACUAAGGUGCAUCACUAAACAAACACUAAACCCAUACUAAGGCAACACUAAGGCAAUGAGAAGGUAACGUUAAGGCAACACUAAGGCAAUGUGAAGGUAACGUUAAGGCAACACUAAGGCAAUGUGAAGGUAACGUUAAGGCAACACUAAGGCAAUGCGAAGGUAACGUUAAGGCAGCUCGCCCUAUAACUGUUUUGGAGGCUGGUCUUCGCCCUGUCUCUCAUCUCCAUAAGCGAGAGGGCCUGGCGCCUGGACCUAAUUACAAAUUAAUCACAAGUAAGCGUCUAGACUGCAGUUAUGUCAGGAAAAGCCUCUCGCCUUAAAAGGAAGAGUAGCUGGCUUUCUCGGUUUGAGAAAGAAACCUUAGCAUACGCCAGAGCUGCCAGCUAGCAGGAAUGUCUUGAAAAGGGAAACUGACUGACGAUGUGCCAGGUCAGGCCUUGAUCCGCUCCAGGGUCAGUCUGCUAUCUCAGGUGGAUUAAACCAAAUUGUAUCUGUUUGACUUAAUAAUAGACAGAACUGCUCUGCAUUUGUGCAUUAGCAUACUGUAUAUAACAUAUGAUUAUCGAGCCCAUAUAUUAACUGUAAUCAUGGGUAUCUGUGCUGUUUGUAUAGAAUAUGCAGCCUACUAGAAAGUGAAGACUGCUAGUCAGCUUUUUUGUAAUCAUUUGAGAUCAUUUUUGUAACAUUAGGUAGUAUAUUAGUUUAGCAUACCAGUUAUAGCAGUUAUGUUAAACCAACAGACCAAACCCAUGUCCUUGCCUAUAUGCACACACAAAUGCGCACACACUCACUCACACCCACACACACGCGCACACCCACACACACACACACAAACACACACACACACACACACACACACACACACACACACACACACACACACCACCUAGAAAUGAACAUAUAAGAGACAGUUCUCACAGACACACAUAUACACACAAACACACACACCCCACCUAGAAAUGAACACAGAGGGAGGGACUGUUCAGAUUCCGAUUGGGGUAAUGUCCUGUCACAUGCGUUUAUGAUGCUCAGGGACAUGAGUAGAUCAUUCAGGACUGUUUUCAAGCCAUGUCUGUCUCACUUGGGAGAUAAGAAAUAUCGCAUCUUAAUCCAUCCAGACACUCUUAAUUUGAUUUCCCUGUGUCCCUGGAUGUAGGGGGGGAGGAAAUGAGGUCAUAGCACAAAUGUUUUCACAUGACUUGGCUCUAUUACCCCAGAGAUUUCUUACGGAACAUCAGUAGGUCAUAGAGUUCUGAUGUGGAACACUGCUUUGCAGUACUAGAAAACAUUGUAGCGUGCAGUAGCGUCCAAAGCCUCCAUAAACAAACAUGUGUCUCCUUCCAUAGACAUUACUUUUAUAUUGCACUAAUGGUAACACUAAAGUUCAACUCUCCCCCCAUAACCAUAUCGUAAAGGUUUUAUGGCAGAUGCCGUAUACUAUCAGGAACGUUUUGUGAUAGAUCUUUUAAGUGAUACAACAACAGUGUCAUGUGACCAUUCAUUGUCAAUUGUUAAAACUGUCAAAAAGACAGCUCCCGACAUCAUGUUUGACACCAUGACAUCUCACUAGCAUGUUGCAUAGGCUAUUACAGCAUAGAAAAAUGAGUGCUGUCAUGACAGUUACCCAUACUUGAUGCAUAAC